UAUGAUGUGGUUCCUUAUAAGUUUGGUGAGAAAUCUUCGCAGACUUUGAGUUCAACUGGCUAUCAGAACAUGGCAUUCAAAGCCUACAAUGGGCUUGGUCAUCCUGGAUCAGUUAUCCUCGACUUCAUCGUCAAUGGGGAAUGAGCUCAUGAGCAUUACACAGCAAAAGCAUCAAGAGGGGCCAUCUCAACAAUGGAGAAACUUCCUACUAAUUCAAGAUGCGGAAUACAUUUAUCAAUUUAUUUUUAGAUUUUGUUUGUGAGAGAUAUGUGUCUUGUGAAUUUGUUGGAGGA
This is a non-coding RNA of Prunus avium (sweet cherry), 293 nucleotides long. NCBI's taxonomy places the organism in Eukaryota, Viridiplantae, Streptophyta, Magnoliopsida, Rosales, Rosaceae. The record is from RefSeq and is a predicted model, not a curated record.